GGAGACGUGCCAGAGUGGUUGAAUGGGCCGCACUCGAAAUGCGGUAUGCCCGAAAGGGCAUCGGAGGUUCGAAUCCUCCCGUCUCCG
RNAcentral lists this transfer RNA (87 nucleotides) under Candidatus Harrisonbacteria bacterium RIFCSPHIGHO2_01_FULL_44_13. RNAcentral's name for it is "tRNA-Ser". It matches the Rfam family "tRNA". Rfam says of the family: Transfer RNA (tRNA) molecules are approximately 80 nucleotides in length. Their secondary structure includes four short double-helical elements and three loops (D, anti-codon, and T loops). The record is from RNAcentral. RNAcentral also lists the same sequence under 1 other name. Lineage: Bacteria; Candidatus Harrisoniibacteriota.